GAAUGUGAGGGCGAUCUGGCUGCGACAUCUGUCACCCCAUUGAUUGCCGGGAUUGAUCCAGCUGAUCUGGCUGGCUAGGUGGGUGUCCCCUUCCUCUCUCACCGCUCCGUGUGCUUCCCCCCGCCCCCGGGAAGCUGCACUGAGCACUCAGUCAGAGAGGAUGGCCAUCCCCAGGAGAGGACCAGUCUUCAGCCAAGGGUAUACAAGUAGCUGUGAGCCCCUUUUAGACCCUCCAAACGAGCUCUCCAGGUCCCCUGUAGGAGACACAUCCAAAUGAGGCACUGCAUGCCAGCAGGCUGCUGUUCUUU
RNAcentral lists this small nuclear RNA (308 nucleotides) under Tupaia belangeri chinensis (Chinese tree shrew). RNAcentral's name for it is "Tupaia chinensis (Chinese tree shrew) 7SK RNA". It matches the Rfam family "7SK RNA". Rfam says of the family: 7SK was discovered as an abundant small nuclear RNA in the mid-70s but a possible function has only recently been suggested. Two independent studies have found that 7SK RNA binds the CDK9/cyclin T complex (known as elongation factor P-TEFb). P-TEFb activates transcription by phosphorylating the C-terminal domain of RNA polymerase II. The record is from Rfam by way of RNAcentral. Lineage: Eukaryota; Metazoa; Chordata; Mammalia; Scandentia; Tupaiidae.